This 121-nucleotide non-coding RNA is filed under the name Phascolarctobacterium sp. The record is from RNAcentral. Lineage: Bacteria; Bacillati; Bacillota; Negativicutes; Acidaminococcales; Acidaminococcaceae.
AAAUAGUAAUAGUUAUCAGGUGCGAAUAAUCGCAUGAUAAGCGGUGCAAUUCCGCUGCGCUCCCGGCGCUGUAAGGGGUUUUAGCCCUAAGCCAGCAAUCAGCCUGAUAGUCUAGCUACUG